UACUUUCAUAGGAUAAAAGCAAUCCAUUGGUCUUAGGAACCAAAAAACUGGUGCAACUCCAGAUGAAAGUAA
Molecule: transfer RNA, 72 nt
Filed under: Choloepus didactylus (southern two-toed sloth)
Lineage: Eukaryota; Metazoa; Chordata; Mammalia; Pilosa; Megalonychidae
Description: tRNA-Leu
Rfam family: tRNA
About the family: Transfer RNA (tRNA) molecules are approximately 80 nucleotides in length.
Source: RNAcentral